CCUACGGGUGGCAGCAGUCGAGAAUCAUUCACAAUGGGGGAAACCCUGAUGGUGCGACGCCGCGUGGGGGAAUGAAGGUCUUCGGAUUGUAAACCCCUGUCAUGUGGGAGCAAAUUAAAAAGAUAGUACCACAAGAGGAAGAGACGGCUAACUCUGUGCCAGCAGCCGCGGUAAUACAGAGGUCUCAAGCGUUGUUCGGAAUCACUGGGCGUAAGGCGUGCGUAGGCGGUUUCGUAAGUCGUGUGUGAAAGGCGCGGGCUCAACCCGCGGACGGCACAUGAUACUGCGAGACUAGAGUAAUGGAGGGGGAACCGGAAUUCUCGGUGUAGCAGUGAAAUGCGUAGAUAUCGAGAGGAACACUCGUGGCGAAGGCGGGUUCCUGGACAUUAACUGACGCUGAGGCACGAAGGCCAGGGGAGCGAAAGGGAUUAGAUACCCGAGUAGUC
This 446-nucleotide ribosomal RNA is filed under the name uncultured bacterium. RNAcentral's name for it is "partial 16S ribosomal RNA". It matches the Rfam family "Bacterial small subunit ribosomal RNA", at positions 338 to 795 of the family's 1533-position model. The record is from RNAcentral.